RNAcentral lists this non-coding RNA (29 nucleotides) under Homo sapiens (human). Lineage: Eukaryota; Metazoa; Chordata; Mammalia; Primates; Hominidae. The record is from RNAcentral.
GCUGGGAUUACAAGUGCCCACCACCAUGC